RNAcentral lists this ribosomal RNA (253 nucleotides) under uncultured bacterium. Its description in RNAcentral is "partial 16S ribosomal RNA". It matches the Rfam family "Bacterial small subunit ribosomal RNA", at positions 524 to 776 of the family's 1533-position model. The record is from RNAcentral.
GACGAACCGUGCGAACGUUGUUCGGAAUCACUGGGCUUAAAGGGCGCGUAGGCGGACCACCAAGUCAGGGGUGAAAUCCCCCGGCCCAACCGGGGAAGUGCUUUUGAUACUGGUGGUCUCGAGUGGGGUAGGGGCGUGCGGAACUUCCGGUGGAGCGGUGAAAUGCGUAGAGAUCGGAAGGAACGCCGGUGGCGAAAGCGGCACGCUGGACCCUUUCUGACGCUGAGGCGCGAAAGCCAGGGGAGCAAACGGG